ACUACGGGUGGCAGCAGUGAGGAAUAUUGGUCAAUGGGCGUAAGCCUGAACCAGCCAAGUCGCGUGAGGGAUGAAGGUUCUAUGGAUCGUAAACCUCUUUUAUAAGGGAAUAAAGUGCGGGACGUGUCCCGUUUUGUAUGUACCUUAUGAAUAAGGAUCGGCUAACUCCGUGCCAGCAGCCGCGGUAAUACGGGGGAUCCGAGCGUUAUCCGGAUUUAUUGGGUUUAAAGGGUGCGUAGGCGGCCUUGUAAGGCAGCGGUGAAAGUCUGUGGCUCAACCAUAGAAUUGCCGUUGAAACUGGGAGUCUUGAGUAUGUUUGAGGCAGGCGGAAUGCGUGGUGUAGCGGUGAAAUGCUUAGAUAUCACGCAGAACCCCGAUUGCGAAGGCAGCCUGCCAAGCCAUGACUGACGCUGAUGCACGAAAGCGUGGGGAUCAAACAGGAUUAGAUACCCGGGUAGUC
This 460-nucleotide ribosomal RNA is filed under the name uncultured bacterium. RNAcentral's name for it is "partial 16S ribosomal RNA". It matches the Rfam family "Bacterial small subunit ribosomal RNA", at positions 338 to 795 of the family's 1533-position model. The record is from RNAcentral.